This 109-nucleotide non-coding RNA is filed under the name Gordonia polyisoprenivorans. Its description in RNAcentral is "SAM-IV sequence". It matches the Rfam family "SAM (S-adenosyl methionine) riboswitch aptamer". Rfam says of the family: SAM-IV is a mRNA element that regulates gene expression via direct sensing of S-adenosylmethionine (SAM or AdoMet). SAM-IV riboswitches share conserved nucleotide positions with the previously described SAM-I riboswitches sequence analysis and molecular recognition experiments suggest that SAM-I and SAM-IV riboswitches share similar ligand binding sites, but have different scaffolds. The record is from RNAcentral. RNAcentral also lists the same sequence under 1 other name. Lineage: Bacteria; Bacillati; Actinomycetota; Actinomycetes; Mycobacteriales; Gordoniaceae.
GGUCAUGAGCGUCAACGUCAAGCCCUGGCUGGUUGACCGGCAACCCUCGCAUCGCGGUGGGGUGCCCCAGGUGACGACCGGAUCGGGAAUGUCCCGAUAAGCGUGAUGG